Molecule: non-coding RNA, 1453 nt
Organism: Labrus bergylta (ballan wrasse)
Lineage: Eukaryota; Metazoa; Chordata; Actinopteri; Labriformes; Labridae
Source: the annotation of a RefSeq genome assembly
UACUGGGGUCAAGGGACUGCAGUCACUGUUAAUUCAGGAACUGCACCGACUCUGUUCCCUGUGGUUCAAUGCGGCUCUGGGACUGGAAAUCAAAUCACUGUUGGUUGUCUGGCUCAUGACUUCAUCCCAAAGAGUACUUUCCAGUGGACGGAUGACAGCGGGACCAGUUUACCUUCUGUACAAUAUUCUACAACUGUCAAUGACAACAAAUUCACAGGUCUUAGUCUGGCCCGAGUAUCCAAAUCUGACUGGGGUUCAAGGAAAUCUUUUAACUGUUCUAUGACGUAUCCUGGAGGAUCCAAAAGUGUCAACUUGCAAAAAAAUGAAAUAGAAGAAACUGGCUUCACUACUUGGCCCCCCAAAUCAUUCAGGAACACGUUUUCAGCUGUCAGUGUUCUGAAUGUGAAGAACACAGACUGGGACAGUAAAGCCGUGUACACAUGUGAGGUGACACACAAAGGCAAAUUAUAUAUGAAGAAGGCCUCAAAAGCUGCUGUCACAUUGGCCCUUAACCAACCAAGUCCCAAAGAAUUGUUCAACAACAACCAGGCAAAGUUGGACUGUAUCGUUUCUGGACAAGACAGGAGUGUUGUAAACGACAUGAGAAUAACUUGGCAAAUUAAUGAACACAAUGUGUCUGAUGCCAUUACUUCGACGCCAAAUUCCAGAAAUGGUCAACACAGCAAAAUCAGUACGUUGACUCGGAGUCUCUCAGAGUGGCAGACAGUCAACAAAGUGAGAUGUUCUGCCAUGAGAGACAAUAUGACACCAGUAAUUCAAGACCUGACUGUCCAUAAAGGAGAUUGGAAGAAAACAAAAGUGACCGUCCACGUCCUCCCAGAGGAGGAAAUCAGCAAAGGAAACGAGGUCACUCUAGUGUGCCUGGUCUCCAGUCUUGAACAGCAGGAUUACUACAUCGCCUGGUCUGAGUACAUUGGACAAAAGACUGGAAACUAUGUUGAUGGCAUUAACUUCCCACCUCAGAAGACCCAACAAGGCUACUCAGUAACAAGUGUUUACUACACAACCAAGGACAAGUGGAACAACCACAUGUACACGUGCAACGUCUGGCCUGCUGGCAGCAAUAGUUCCAUGAAUCCACAGGCAGUGUCUAAGGCCCAGGAGUCAAAAGUGAGUUGGGGUGAAUACAAUAUACAUGAUGCCGUUGAAGAGGAUGAGUUCAGCAGCUUGUGGUCCACAGCCGCCUCUUUCAUAUUCCUCUUCAUAGCCUCUCUCUUCUACAGCAUGAUAAUCAGCCUAGUCAAGAUAAGGAGUCAAUAAGGGAUGGAACGGAUGCACAACACAGACAAGCAAAUUUGUGAUUUUUGGUAUUUCAUUUUAAUCUAGUUUUAAAAACAUGAACAUAAUCCACAAACUACUGUAUAUUGUAAUUUCAAAAAUGUCAUAUAUGAUGUUUAAAAAUUCUAUUAAAGUGUAUUUUCUGUAACCUAAA